UACGUAGGGUGCGAGCGUUGUCCGGAAUUAUUGGGCGUAAAGGGCUCGUAGGCGGUUUGUCGCGUCGGGAGUGAAAACCAGGUGCUUAACACCUGGCUUGCUUUCGAUACGGGCAGACUAGAGGUAUUCAGGGGAGAACGGAAUUCCUGGUGUAGCGGUGAAAUGCGCAGAUAUCAGGAGGAACACCGGUGGCGAAGGCGGUUCUCUGGGAAUGACCUGACGCUGAGGAGCGAAAGUGUGGGGAGCAAACAGG
Molecule: ribosomal RNA, 253 nt
Filed under: uncultured bacterium
Lineage: Bacteria
Description: partial 16S ribosomal RNA
Rfam family: Bacterial small subunit ribosomal RNA
Source: RNAcentral